Corylus avellana is the source of this 996-nucleotide non-coding RNA. NCBI's taxonomy places the organism in Eukaryota, Viridiplantae, Streptophyta, Magnoliopsida, Fagales, Betulaceae. The record is from RefSeq and is a predicted model, not a curated record.
GACUUUCAUUCAAUCGUGUAUCGUAUCUAACAACACCAUUGAAUGAAUGACUUUGCUCUCGUCAUCAGACUCGCCUUUCUCUCUCCUCGACAAAGUUCGCAUCUUUAUCUUUGGCUCUCCUUUCUCCUUCUCCUUCUCCUUAAUGCCAGAACGCCGUAUCCUCUCUCUCUCUCUUUCCCUACCCUAACCCACCAAACAAAGCCCCAUCUCCUUGCUCAUAUUUCUACCUUUGUUUCGGGGGUCGCCUGCCCCGCAAACCACACACCGAAGGGCUUCCCCAGCAGGAGCCGCUUCCGCCUAAUCGACGGUCCCCCAGGCUCAGACGACUUUUAUAGCUUCUCUCUUUCCCCACCCUACAAAGCCGAAUCUCCUUGCUCAUAUUUCUACCUUUGUAUCUUUAUUUGAUUUCGUGCGUCUGCCACCACCAUGCUUGCUCAACGCCGUAUCCUCUCUCUUUCCCUACCCUACAAGGCCCAUCUCCUUGCUCAUAUUUCUACCUUUGUAUCUUUAUUUGAUUUCGGGGGCUGAGAAUGAAAAAGACAUUUACACUUGUAUCUCGCCUGCCCCGCAAACCACACACCGAAGGGCUUCCCCAGCAGGAGCCCCUUCCGCCUAACUGACGGUCCCCCAUACUCUGACGACUUUUAUAGGGCUGUGAAUGUAAAAGACAUUUACACUUAUAUCUCGCCUGCCCCGCAAACCACACACUGAAGGGCUUCCGCAGCAGGAGCCGCUUCCACCUAACCGAUGGUCCCUGAUGCUUAGACGACUUUUAUAGGUCUGAAUCCAGAGUUGCCUUUUUUAAUCUACUGUCUUCUCGGUGCUAGAUCUAGGCUUGAUUGUGUUUGUAUUUUAAUUUUCAAGUAAUUUCUGUCUGAAAUUAAUCUACUCUGUUUAAGUGCUAGAUCUAGGUUUUUACUCUCUUCUAAUUUCUGAAAUUCUGAAAAGAAAAAAAGAAAUAUGGGAUAAUUUUUACCUGGGGGGAGGCUUUUGUUU